Molecule: ribosomal RNA, 265 nt
Filed under: uncultured archaeon
Lineage: Archaea
Description: partial 16S ribosomal RNA
Rfam family: Archaeal small subunit ribosomal RNA
Source: RNAcentral
ACACGACUACAUUAGAUACCCGGGUAGUCCUAGCCGUAAACGAUACUCGCUAGGUGUCGGCCACGGUGCGACCGUUGUCGGUGCCGUAGGGAAGCCGUGAAGCGAGCCACCUGGGAAGUACGGCCGCAAGGCUGAAACUUAAAGGAAUUGGCGGGGGAGCACAACAACGGGUGGAGCUUGUGGUUUAAUUGGAUUCAACGCCGGAAAUCUUACCGGGACCGACAGCAACAUGAAGGCCAAGCUGAAGACUUUGCCGGAUUAGCUG